This 390-nucleotide unclassified non-coding RNA is filed under the name soil metagenome. RNAcentral's name for it is "partial contains 5.8S ribosomal RNA, internal transcribed spacer 2, and large subunit ribosomal RNA". The stretch from base 1 to 120 matches the Rfam family "5.8S ribosomal RNA", at positions 35 to 154 of the family's 154-position model. The record is from RNAcentral.
GAUGAAGAACGUAGCGAAAUGCGAUAAGUAAUGUGAAUUGCAGAAUUCAGUGAAUCAUCGAAUCUUUGAACGCACCUUGCGCUCCGUGGUAUUCCGAGGAGCAUGCCUGUUUGAGUGUCAUUAAAUUCUCAACCUUUCCAGCUUUUGCGAGUUUGGAUUGGCUUGGAUGUGGAGGUUUGCAGGCUUCUCAGAAGUCAGCUCCUCUUAAAUGCAUUAGUGGAAACUUUGUGGACCAGCUUUGGUGUGAUAAUUAUCUAUGCCAUGGUUGUAAAGCAGUUUUUAUAUGGGGUUCAGCUUCUAACAGUCCAUUGACUUGGACAAUUUCUGACAUUUUGACCUCAAAUCAGGUAGGACUACCCGCUGAACUUAAGCAUAUCAAUAAGCGGAGGA